This is a long non-coding RNA of Cannabis sativa, 676 nucleotides long. RefSeq lists it as uncharacterized. The transcript is spliced from 2 exons. NCBI's taxonomy places the organism in Eukaryota, Viridiplantae, Streptophyta, Magnoliopsida, Rosales, Cannabaceae. The record is from RefSeq and is a predicted model, not a curated record.
CCACAUCAUUUAAUUAUUAUUUUUAUUAUUUAAAAAUCGUUUUAAAAUUAAAAAAAUUAAAUUAAAUAAAAAUUAAAAUUAAACCUCAUUAUAAUUUUAAAUAUACAAAAUAAUAAUAAUAAUAAAUUAACAUUAAAAAUUUAAACAGAAUAAAAAAAAAAUCAAAACAAACCUAAAACUGAAAAUCGUUCUCCUCUCUCUCUUCUCACAAACCUCUCCGUGAGACAACAACCCACUCAACCAACCCAGGUUUCUUCUCCGGCGCACCUCCGCCCGACCUCCGUGAGCCAUUCCACCACAGCCGAUGGACGAGAUUCCGACCACCCCUAGGAUCGCAAGCGUCAGACCACACCGAUCGAAGCUUGUUCUCCCUCUCGAUCUCGCGGUUGUUGUUGGUGAGGAGGAAGAAGAUGAUGACGAUUGGGGGGUGUUCUCUGGUUUGCACUUCUGGUUCUCAGAAGAAGGUGAGGGAGAAGAAGUUGACCCCCUAAAUCGCAGAAGAGAAGGGGGAGAAGAACAGGAUUUUAGUGUUAUCAGAUUUUCUAGGUUUGGAAUUUAAUUUUGUAUUUGAUUUAAUUUAAGUGUUUAUGUUUAGUUAUUUUGUAAGAAUUAGAUUGUUAUAUGAUUUUUAUUAUUAAUCGGUUUUGUAGGAAUUAGAUUUUAAGUUUUAUGUGUU